This 1397-nucleotide ribosomal RNA is filed under the name Klebsiella pneumoniae. RNAcentral describes it as "bacterial SSU rRNA". It matches the Rfam family "Bacterial small subunit ribosomal RNA". Lineage: Bacteria; Pseudomonadati; Pseudomonadota; Gammaproteobacteria; Enterobacterales; Enterobacteriaceae. The record is from RNAcentral.
AGAGUUUGAUCAUGGCUCAGAUUGAACGCUGGCGGCAGGCCUAACACAUGCAAGUCGAGCGGUAGCACAGAGAGCUUGCUCUCGGGUGACGAGCGGCGGACGGGUGAGUAAUGUCUGGGAAACUGCCUGAUGGAGGGGGAUAACUACUGGAAACGGUAGCUAAUACCGCAUAAUGUCGCAAGACCAAAGUGGGGGACCUUCGGGCCUCAUGCCAUCAGAUGUGCCCAGAUGGGAUUAGCUAGUAGGUGGGGUAACGGCUCACCUAGGCGACGAUCCCUAGCUGGUCUGAGAGGAUGACCAGCCACACUGGAACUGAGACACGGUCCAGACUCCUACGGGAGGCAGCAGUGGGGAAUAUUGCACAAUGGGCGCAAGCCUGAUGCAGCCAUGCCGCGUGUGUGAAGAAGGCCUUCGGGUUGUAAAGCACUUUCAGCGGGGAGGAAGGCGAUAAGGUUAAUAACCUCAUCGAUUGACGUUACCCGCAGAAGAAGCACCGGCUAACUCCGUGCCAGCAGCCGCGGUAAUACGGAGGGUGCAAGCGUUAAUCGGAAUUACUGGGCGUAAAGCGCACGCAGGCGGUCUGUCAAGUCGGAUGUGAAAUCCCCGGGCUCAACCUGGGAACUGCAUUCGAAACUGGCAGGCUAGAGUCUUGUAGAGGGGGGUAGAAUUCCAGGUGUAGCGGUGAAAUGCGUAGAGAUCUGGAGGAAUACCGGUGGCGAAGGCGGCCCCCUGGACAAAGACUGACGCUCAGGUGCGAAAGCGUGGGGAGCAAACAGGAUUAGAUACCCUGGUAGUCCACGCCGUAAACGAUGUCGAUUUGGAGGUUGUGCCCUUGAGGCGUGGCUUCCGGAGCUAACGCGUUAAAUCGACCGCCUGGGGAGUACGGCCGCAAGGUUAAAACUCAAAUGAAUUGACGGGGGCCCGCACAAGCGGUGGAGCAUGUGGUUUAAUUCGAUGCAACGCGAAGAACCUUACCUGGUCUUGACAUCCACAGAACUUUCCAGAGAUGGAUUGGUGCCUUCGGGAACUGUGAGACAGGUGCUGCAUGGCUGUCGUCAGCUCGUGUUGUGAAAUGUUGGGUUAAGUCCCGCAACGAGCGCAACCCUUAUCCUUUGUUGCCAGCGGUCCGGCCGGGAACUCAAAGGAGACUGCCAGUGAUAAACUGGAGGAAGGUGGGGAUGACGUCAAGUCAUCAUGGCCCUUACGACCAGGGCUACACACGUGCUACAAUGGCAUAUACAAAGAGAAGCGACCUCGCGAGAGCAAGCGGACCUCAUAAAGUAUGUCGUAGUCCGGAUUGGAGUCUGCAACUCGACUCCAUGAAGUCGGAAUCGCUAGUAAUCGUAGAUCAGAAUGCUACGGUGAAUACGUUCCCGGGCCUUGUACACACCGCCCGU